RNAcentral lists this ribosomal RNA (513 nucleotides) under uncultured archaeon. RNAcentral describes it as "bacterial SSU rRNA". It matches the Rfam family "Archaeal small subunit ribosomal RNA", at positions 346 to 859 of the family's 1478-position model. The record is from RNAcentral.
AACUCUACAAUGCAGGCAACUGCGAUAGGGGAACAUCGAGUGGCUCCCAUAUUGGGGGUCUGUCCACCCGCCUAAAAAGCGGGUGUUAGCAAGGGCCGGGCAAGACCGGUGCCAGCCGCCGCGGUAAUACCGGCGGCUCGAGUGGUGGCCGAUAUUAUUGAGUCUAGAGGGUCCGUAGCCGGCUUUGCAAGUCUCUCGGGAAAUCCAGCGGCUUAACCGUUGGGCGUCUGGGGGCUACUACAUUGCUUGGGACUGGGAGAGGCGAGAGGUACUCAGGGGGUAGGAGUGAAAUCCUGUAAUCCUUUGGGGACCACCGGUGGCGAAGGCGUCUCGCCAGAACAGGUCCGACGGUGAGGGACGAAAGCUAGGGGCACGAACCGGAUUAGAUACCCGGGUAGUCCUAGCCGUAAACGAUGCUCGCUAGGUGUCACAACAGUCGUGAACUGUUGUGGUGCCGUAGGGAAGCCGUGAAGCGAGCCACUUGGGAAGUACGACCGCAAGGUUGAAACUUAA